RNAcentral lists this transfer RNA (71 nucleotides) under Chitinophagaceae bacterium. Its description in RNAcentral is "tRNA-OTHER". It matches the Rfam family "tRNA". From Rfam's summary of the family: Transfer RNA (tRNA) molecules are approximately 80 nucleotides in length. Their secondary structure includes four short double-helical elements and three loops (D, anti-codon, and T loops). Further hydrogen bonds mediate the characteristic L-shaped molecular structure. tRNAs have two regions of fundamental functional importance: the anti-codon, which is responsible for specific mRNA codon recognition, and the 3' end, to which the tRNAs corresponding amino acid is attached (by aminoacyl-tRNA synthetases). tRNAs cope with the degeneracy of the genetic code in two manners: having more than one tRNA (with a specific anti-codon) for a particular amino acid; and 'wobble' base-pairing, i.e. permitting non-standard base-pairing at the 3rd anti-codon position. Lineage: Bacteria; Pseudomonadati; Bacteroidota; Chitinophagia; Chitinophagales; Chitinophagaceae. The record is from RNAcentral.
UCCCGGUUAGUUUAACUGGUUAAAAUCCUGAAUAAAGUAAGGCGUUGCAGGUUCGAAUCCUGCACCGGGAU